RNAcentral lists this ribosomal RNA (301 nucleotides) under uncultured bacterium. RNAcentral describes it as "partial 16S ribosomal RNA". It matches the Rfam family "Bacterial small subunit ribosomal RNA", at positions 509 to 809 of the family's 1533-position model. The record is from RNAcentral.
CAGCCGCCGCGGUAAUACGUAGGUGGCAAGCGUUGUCCGGAAUUAUUGGGCGUAAAGGGCUCGCAGGCGGUUUCUUAAGUCUGAUGUGAAAACCCCCGGCUCAACCGGGGAGGGUCAUUGGAAACUGGGAAACUUGAGUGCAGAAGAGGAGAGUGGAAUUCCACGUGUAGCGGUGAAAUGCGUAGAGAUGUGGAGGAACACCAGUGGCGAAGGCGACUCUCUGGUCUGUAACUGACGCUGAGGAGCGAAAGCGUGGGGAGCGAACGGGAUUAGAUACCCGUGUAGUCCCUGUCUCUUAUAA